GGUGGCAGCAGACUCAGGAGAUAUAUCGGGGGCCUAUGGGGGGGCCUGGUGGGGAGUGGCCCCCACUCGGGUUCUCGAUCGCCGGAGCGUGGCUGCCGGAAGUGCGCUAAGGGAUUUCUUUCUCCCCGGGCACCUGCGGGAAACUGAGGCUCGGAUUGAGCUCGGGCCCGUGCGAGGCGCUGAGGCCGCCGUCUUAGCCUGCAGGAGCGGAAGAUGUCGGACAGCGAGGACAGCAACUUCUCGGAGGAGGAGGACAGCGAGCGCAGCAGUGACGGCGAGGAGGCCGAGUGAAGAAGCCUGGCCUUUGUGAAACCACCACACUGGAGAGACACCCAAAGGAGCCCACAGAGAGGGACCCAGGUGCCUGGGGAGCCCCAGGGCUUCCAGCCCAGUGACCCGACAUGUGAGUGGGUAUGAGCAUUCCGAUGAGUCCAGCCUCAGCCACUGACCCUUACCAGGUGAAACUGAGCAGAGCAGACAUGGCUGACGCAACUAAGCCCUGUCCAAAGUGUAGACUCAUGAACAGAAUAAAUGUUAUUUUAUCGUCUC
Carlito syrichta (Philippine tarsier) is the source of this 549-nucleotide long non-coding RNA. RefSeq lists it as uncharacterized. NCBI's taxonomy places the organism in Eukaryota, Metazoa, Chordata, Mammalia, Primates, Tarsiidae. The transcript has 2 exons. The record is from RefSeq and is a predicted model, not a curated record.